CACGUCAGCGCGCUUUACUGACGUGGAAACAAAUCGCGUUCAUGAGGGGGCGAUUUGUUGCCACGUCAGCAAAGCGCGCUGACGUGG
This is a non-coding RNA of Gossypium raimondii (Peruvian cotton), 87 nucleotides long. Lineage: Eukaryota; Viridiplantae; Streptophyta; Magnoliopsida; Malvales; Malvaceae. The record is from Rfam.